UACGAGAGGCCCAAACGUUAUUCGGAAUUACUGGGCUUAAAGAGUUCGUAGGCGGCAUUGCAAGUAGGGUGUGAAAGCCCUCGGCUCAACCGAGGAAUUGCGCUCUAAACUGCAGUGCUUGAGGAACCUAGAGGUGAGCAGAACAGAUGGUGGAGCGGUGAAAUGCGUUGAUAUCAUCUGGAAUACCGGAGGCGAAGGCGGCUCACUGGGAGUUUUCUGACGCUGAGGAACGAAAGCCAGGGGAGCGAACGGG
This 253-nucleotide ribosomal RNA is filed under the name uncultured bacterium. RNAcentral's name for it is "partial 16S ribosomal RNA". It matches the Rfam family "Bacterial small subunit ribosomal RNA", at positions 524 to 776 of the family's 1533-position model. The record is from RNAcentral.